Molecule: ribosomal RNA, 484 nt
Filed under: uncultured bacterium
Lineage: Bacteria
Description: partial 16S ribosomal RNA
Rfam family: Bacterial small subunit ribosomal RNA
Source: RNAcentral
AUUGAACGCUAGCGGGAUGCUUUACACAUGCAAGUCGAACGGCAGCGCGGACUUCGGUCUGGCGGCGAGUGGCGAACGGGUGAGUAAUGUAUCGGAACGUGCCCAGUAGCGGGGGAUAACUACGCGAAAGCGUAGCUAAUACCGCAUACGCCCUACGGGGGAAAGCAGGGGAUCGUAAGACCUUGCACUUUUGGAGCGGCCGAUACCGGAUUAGCUAGUUGGUGAGGUAACGGCUCACCAAGGCGACGAUCCGUAGCUGGUUUGAGAGGACGACCAGCCACACUGGGACUGAGACACGGCCCAGACUCCUACGGGAGGCAGCAGUGGGGAAUUUUGGACAAUGGGGGCAACCCUGAUCCAGCCAUCCCGCGUGUGCGAUGAAGGCCUUCGGGUUGUAAAGCACUUUUGGCAGGAAAGAAACGUCGCGGGCUAAUACCCCGUGGAACUGACGGUACCUGCAGAAUAAGCACCGGCUAACUACGUG